This 253-nucleotide ribosomal RNA is filed under the name uncultured bacterium. RNAcentral's name for it is "partial 16S ribosomal RNA". It matches the Rfam family "Bacterial small subunit ribosomal RNA", at positions 524 to 776 of the family's 1533-position model. The record is from RNAcentral.
UACGUAGGGUGCGAGCGUUAAUCGGAAUUACUGGGCGUAAAGCGUGCGCAGGCGGCUUUGCAAGACAGAUGUGAAAUCCCCGGGCUCAACCUGGGAACUGCAUCUGUGACUGCACAGCUAGAGUACGGUAGAGGGGGAUGGAAUUCCGCGUGUAGCAGUGAAAUGCGUAGAUAUGCGGAGGAACACCGAUGGCGAAGGCAAUCCCCUGGGCCUGCACUGACGCUCAUGCACGAAAGCGUGGGGAGCAAACAGG